GAGGGAGUAGCUCAGUGGUAGGGCGCAUGCUUAGCAUGUAAGAGGUCCUGGGUUCAAUCCCUAGCACUUCCA
This 72-nucleotide transfer RNA is filed under the name Camelus bactrianus (Bactrian camel). It matches the Rfam family "tRNA". From Rfam's summary of the family: Transfer RNA (tRNA) molecules are approximately 80 nucleotides in length. Their secondary structure includes four short double-helical elements and three loops (D, anti-codon, and T loops). Further hydrogen bonds mediate the characteristic L-shaped molecular structure. tRNAs have two regions of fundamental functional importance: the anti-codon, which is responsible for specific mRNA codon recognition, and the 3' end, to which the tRNAs corresponding amino acid is attached (by aminoacyl-tRNA synthetases). tRNAs cope with the degeneracy of the genetic code in two manners: having more than one tRNA (with a specific anti-codon) for a particular amino acid; and 'wobble' base-pairing, i.e. permitting non-standard base-pairing at the 3rd anti-codon position. RNAcentral also lists the same sequence under 2 other names. Lineage: Eukaryota; Metazoa; Chordata; Mammalia; Artiodactyla; Camelidae. The record is from Rfam by way of RNAcentral.